AGAGUUUGAUCCUGGCUCAGAACGAACGCUGGCGGCGUGCUUAACACAUGCAAGUCGAACGCGAAAAUUUUCCUCGGAAAGUGAGUAGAGUGGCGUACGGGUGAGUAACGCGUAAGUUAUCUACCUCGGCAUCCGGAAUAACUCACCGAAAGGUGUGCUAAUACCGGAUACGUUGAGUAAUCAAGAAAGGUGGCCUCUGAAUAUGCUACUGUGCUGAGAUGAGCUUGCGUACCGUUAGCUAGUUGGUAGGGUAAUGGCCUACCAAGGCAACGAUGGUUAGCGGGUCUGAGAGGAUGAUCCGCCACACUGGAACUGAAACACGGACCAGACUCCUACGGGAGGCAGCAGUGAGGAAUAUUGCGCAAUGGGGGAAACCCUGACGCAGCGACGCCGCGUGGAUGAUGAAGGCCUUCGGGUCGUAAAAUCCUGUCAGAUGGAAAGAAAUGCAUGGUGGCUAAUACCUGCCAUGUUUGACGGUACCAUCGAAGGAAGCACCGGCUAACUCCGUGCCAGCAGCCGCGGUAAUACGGAGGGUGCAAGCGUUGUUCGGAAUUACUGGGCGUAAAGCGCGCGUAGGCGGUUUGUUAAGUCAGAUGUGUAAUCCCCGAGCUCAACUUGGGAACUGCAUCUGAGACUGGCAGGCUAGAGUACUGGAGAGGGUGGUGGAAUUCCUCGUGUAGCGGUGAAAUGCGUAGAGAUGAGGAGGAACACCAGUGGCGAAGGCGGCCACCUGGACAGUAACUGACGCUGAGGCGCGAAAGUGUGGGUAGCAAACAGGAUUAGAUACCCUGGUAGUCC
This 798-nucleotide ribosomal RNA is filed under the name uncultured bacterium. RNAcentral describes it as "bacterial SSU rRNA". It matches the Rfam family "Bacterial small subunit ribosomal RNA", at positions 8 to 796 of the family's 1533-position model. The record is from RNAcentral.